This 407-nucleotide ribosomal RNA is filed under the name uncultured bacterium. RNAcentral's name for it is "partial 16S ribosomal RNA". It matches the Rfam family "Bacterial small subunit ribosomal RNA", at positions 30 to 526 of the family's 1533-position model. The record is from RNAcentral.
AUUGAACGCUGGCGGCAGGCCUAAUACAUGCAAGUAGGACGCAGUUGCGAACGGGUGAGUAACGCGUAGGUAACUACCUAUUAGAGGGGGAUAACUAUUGGAAACGAUAGCUAAUACCGCAUACUAGUAGAUGGACCUGCGUUGUAUUAGCUAGUAGGUAGGGUAAUGGCCUACCUAGGCAACGAUACAUAGCCGAGCUGGAGUGGGGAUCGGCCAAACUGGGACUGGGGAACGGCCCAGACUCCUACGGGGGGCAGCAGUAGGGAAUCUUCGGCAAUGGGGGGAAACCUGACCGAGCAACGCCGCGGGAGUGAAGAAGGGUUUCGGAUCGUAAAGCUCUGUUGUUAAGGAAGCGGUACUUAACCAGAAAGGGACGGCUAACUACGUGCCAGCAGCCGCGGUAAUAC